AGAGUUUGAUCCUGGCUCAGGAUGAACGCUAGCGGUAUGCUUAACACAUGCAAGUCGAACGGUAACGGUUCUUCGGGAGCCGACGAGUGGCGCACGGGUGCGUAACGCGUAUGAAUCUGCCUGGUAGUGGGGGACAACGUGGGGAAACUCACGCUAAUACCCGCAUACGCCCUACGGGGGAAAGCGGGGGAUCUUCGGACCUCGCGCUAUCAGAUGAGCCUGCGUUGGAUUAGCUAGUUGGUAGGGUAACGGCUUACCAAGGCAACGAUCCAUAGCUGGUCUGAGAGGACGAUCAGCCACACUGGUACUGAGACACGGCCCAGACUCCUACGGGAGGCAGCAGUGGGGAAUAUUGGACAAUGGGCGCAAGCCUGAACCAGCCAUGCCGCGUGUGUGAUGACGGCCUAUGGAUUGUAAAGCACUUUCAAUAGGGAAGAAAAAGCGUUGGUUAAUAGCUGAUGCCUUGACAUUACCUAUAGAAGAAGCAUCGGCUAACUCCGUGCCAGCAGCCGCGGUAAUACGGAGGAUGCGAGCGUUAUCCGGAAUUACUGGGCGUAAAGCGUGCGUAGGCGGCUGUUUAAGUCAGAUGUGAAAGCCCCGGGCUUAACCUGGGAACGGCAUUUGAUACUGGGCAGCU
RNAcentral lists this ribosomal RNA (637 nucleotides) under Methylotuvimicrobium buryatense. RNAcentral's name for it is "bacterial SSU rRNA". It matches the Rfam family "Bacterial small subunit ribosomal RNA", at positions 8 to 642 of the family's 1533-position model. Lineage: Bacteria; Pseudomonadati; Pseudomonadota; Gammaproteobacteria; Methylococcales; Methylococcaceae. The record is from RNAcentral.